This 516-nucleotide ribosomal RNA is filed under the name Drunella spinifera. RNAcentral's name for it is "eukaryotic LSU rRNA". It matches the Rfam family "Eukaryotic large subunit ribosomal RNA", at positions 984 to 1465 of the family's 3401-position model. The record is from RNAcentral. Lineage: Eukaryota; Metazoa; Arthropoda; Insecta; Ephemeroptera; Ephemerellidae.
GGCGCUCGUAUAUACGAGUCCCAUCCGGUAAAGCGAAUGAUUAGAGGCCUUGGGGUCGAAACGAUCUCAACCUAUUCUCAAACUUUAAAUGGGUGGGAACCGCGGCUUGCUUGAAUUAGUGAAGCCGCGGUCUCGGAUCGGAGUGCCCAGUGGGCCACUUUUGGUAAGCAGAACUGGCGCUGUGGGAUGAACCAAACGCCGGGUUAAGGCGCCCGAAUAAACGCUCAUUCGAAACCAUGAAAGGUGUUGGUUGCUUAAGACAGCAGGACGGUGGCCAUGGAAGUCGGAAUCCGCUAAGGAGUGUGUAACAACUCACCUGCCGAAGCAACUAGCCCUGAAAAUGGAUGGCGCUGAAGCGUUUUGCCUAUACCCGGCCGCCGGCGGCAAAGGGCGCGCGCCUUCGGGCGCGCGUCGCCAAGCCCCGGUGAGUAGGAGGGUCGCGACGGUGUGCGCAGAAGGGUCUGGGCGUGAGCCUGCCUGGAGCCGCCGUCGGUGCAGAUCUUGGUGGUAGUAGCA